Molecule: long non-coding RNA, 8824 nt
Organism: Athalia rosae (coleseed sawfly)
Lineage: Eukaryota; Metazoa; Arthropoda; Insecta; Hymenoptera; Athaliidae
Exons: 3
Source: RefSeq, a predicted model, not a curated record
AUAUAAAAAGAACACUCAUUAUAUUCACACGCCGACAUGCUUCAUCUAAUUUAAUUGAAAGAUAUGCGGAAGAUCUAUAAGUUUCAAAUGUCGGUAAUACGGCAAAUUAUACUUAUUCCUUUAAAAUCUUCAAUUUGCGCCUCGAGUGUAACAUCCGAUGUGUUAUUACAUAGUUUCUUACCGUAUAAUUAUCUAUAUUACUCACUUUUCAAUUAGGUAAUAGCGAAAUCAAUUGGCGAUAUUGAUUCGUCGACAAUUUUGCACAUCCUCUAGGUAAUAUCUAUCCCAUUAAAAGCACCUCAGGUGCAACAAAUAUCGACAAAAAAUCCAUCCACAAGAAUAACCGUAAAUUAAAUUCAAUUUCAAAUCGAUCACUGUAUAUGUAUACCAAGUGUAUGAAAUGUAUGCCGCCUACAGCUGUACCGAAGAAAUAAAAAAUUUUUUUUAAAAAUUUGCAGCGCGAGCAGGUCGGUACACGUCUCGGUACAAUUCAUGGGCAUUUUGUUAUAUGUUUCGAUGGUAAAUAAAAAUGGAAACACCGCAGCCCUCUGUGACGGCAUUCAAGCGUGAAUAACUAUUACGAGAUCUCAUCUCUCCGAACAUCAAUUGACGUAGAAAUCAGGCUCAAAGGUAUAAUAGCGAUUCAAAUUUCCCGAAAUGCCAUAACAAUGAUUUCGGAGAAACCCGAGGAGAAACCUAAUGAAACGUGCUUUUCCUAUCUCUUAUUAACUGUAAAUACACUCGGUGUCGUCCCGUCCUUUUCAACGUAGGUACAUCGGCGCGAGUCUUCGAGUCUCUCGAUAGGGAUGCCUUGUAAGAAUGUUUAAGCUUCUUCGAAUAAAAUGAUCGCGAGAAGCCUGUAAGCUUGCGGUGUGGGUCGUCGUGGUCGUAUUAUGCCGAGGAAGUUUCACGAUUUUGCCUUCUAUGCUCGUAGGUGCAAAUCGACAUUAUUAUAAUCCUUGGCGAUUUUGCGAGUCACACGAGAUUUAGAAUCGGAAUUAGCUACCGAAUAUUCGUAUAUCAAAUAGAUUUUGACGACGGUGUAUAUUAUGGAAAAACGAAAAAGGUUUCGCGAUAUAAUUCGCCAAUAUUACGAUAUUUCAAAGUCUGCGGGAUUUUUUUUUUUUUUUUAAAUAAUUCAAUCUCAUUUUCAGCUCCGGACGAUCAGGGAUUUCACCUACUUACAAAAUUUUUAAAUAAUUCUCAUAUCUCUAUCGCUAUAAAAAAAUAAAUAAAUAAAUAAAUAAUAAAAAAGACUUCAAUAAUAGAAUUCAACUGAUGAUUAUAUUAAUACGCUGCACGUAUUAUUUCGUAAUAUUGUACACGUAUCUCGACCGAUUCUGCAUCGUGUAUAAUUAUACGCAUGUAGAUAUACUUGUAACAGAUAUGUAAUGAUGGUGUGUAAUUGAAUUAAUUAUUCCAACGACGGGAUUGCAAUGUAAAACGAUCUUAUUGUAAACGAAUCAGUUUUAUUGUACUUAACGGUUUAUUGAUCUGAUUCAUAUCUUAUCGAUAUAGACGGGAUUGUUGAAGAUAAAAAUGAACGCUACGGGGUACGCGUUACGCUAUAGAUCCGUGUAUAAUGAGCAACUAAUUGUAAAUGCGGGUAGCGUUAAAAAGUCCUGCAGCGUUGUGUUUUCGUAUCUUGUACUUUGCCAAAAUUUUUCAAAAAAACUUUCAUUAUAGAAAAAGGAGAAAAGAGCCUAUAGCUUCUCGAUCAAGUUUAUCGAUCGGUGUACGUAUCCGUAUAGAUUUGUAUAUCACGCGGAUAAUAAAAAAAAAAAAAAGGGACUUCAACGACGACGAUGAUGAUGUUCUCUCUGCCGAAGAAGUAGGUGUAUACGCUAUAGCGAGUGUUUAACAAGCAGUUGUCUCCGUAACCAAGAGCCAUCUAAUUGCCCGUAAUCAACGGAAUCAUUUAAACGGUUUAAGCUCGUUCGAGACAGUUAAUGAUCUACUUCGCUCGCUGCGAGACUGGAAUUAGAAAUCUGUCCCAUUAUGAACAGUCUGCAGUUUUCUUCGUUUACGCUCUUACGUACGUACUUAUGUAUGUAUACCUAUGUCCACGCAUUUAUAUAUGUAUACACACAUUCUAGUUACUCGACGGCGCGGACACGCGAUUAUCGUUAUAACUUUUAACCGGCGGGGAUAGAUAGCUGUAUACGUAUACAUGUAUACGCGACGUGAGCGUAGUCUCCCAUUAUAGAAGAAUAACUUAUUUGUUUCACGACUCGAUCAUCGAUCGCAAGAAACUCGAGCCGCUGAUUAGGACGCUAAUUGUAUCUAGAUGUACGUACAACUAAAAACUACCCUAUCAGUAAUUACAACGGCGAUAUCGUCGGCUCGCGAUAUACAUGUAUAACGCGAUUGCAGAAACCGCAGCCAAGCCAUUCGUACGCGCAAUUUUUAUCGUUCGCUUCGAUGCUUCGAUCAUAUCGUCGUGCGCGAGAACCUUGCGAAAUGACAUGAAGAAGUGCCGUACGUGAAUCGAAUACGUUUUACAUAAAAGCGCAAAAAACUACAAAUUUUUAUUUCUCCGACUCAACGACGGUACGCAUAGAGAUCGUGGUGUAAACGACGUCGGCAUAUAUACAUUAUCUCGCGCGAUCGGAUACGUUGAAGUCGGGGAUAGAUGCCGAAUUCGCGUUCGAUUCCGACAAGAAAUUCAUCGCAAUCGAUGGUUCGAUCUGCACGACGUGAUUUUCAACGACGACGUAUCAAAGAAUGGGGUGUAAUAAUGAGCAUAAUUCUAACUUAAUCAUCUCCGAAUAAUGGAGAUAAAAAAGAAGAUUAUUAAACACGAGGUACGCGACGUUCGUACGGAAGAUCCAUAUACUGUGAUGCGUUGCGUUUGGGAUAUAAAUAGCUUUAUGAUAAUGGUAUACAAGUUGAGGAGGCUAUCCGGGUGUUCGGUAAAAAUGGUCGUGGGCUCGGCCACGGCUCUCGAAGUGAACGGUACAUCCCGACACUGCAGGUUGAGCGUCGUCGAGUGAGUCUCUAACGUGUGUAAUAUUUUCAUCCUAUAUUUUAUACCCUCCACUUUGCGGAUAAGGUAUUCCAACUUCUGUUGUCAUUCCCAAUCGAUUCUACUGUUUAAUCAUACCUCGCAACUGAUCCGCCAUAAAAUAAUUACGCGAGAUCAUUUCACGGUCGUUGAUCGAAUAAUCUGACCUGUAAUCAUCGCGUGUAGAAUUUAUUCCGUUAAUCGGCGAAAUCUCUUCAAAAAACUGACGAUUGUAAUCGGAUAUAGAGUAUGGUAAAAUUGCAGAGGGAAAUAAUUUCAUGCGCAUACACGAUGUGCGACAUAUUGGAAAUUAUUUUUCAAAUUCCCGAUCGCAACAGUUUCUGAUGCAUCCGAAUCCAUGUAAACAGGAAUUUCUUAGGCAUAUGUAUAAAUUGUAAUUUUUUUAUGACGUCAUUUCGGCACACGCGUGUAACGCGGGGAUUACCGAUCGAGAAAAUAUUCGUGGAAAUCCACGUUAGGUAUAAUGUACUUGCAUGUGAGUUAUACGUCUAUAUGUGUAAUGAAUUUAUUAUUACAACACGUGCGAAGAAUUUUGCGUACACCGCAACGUAGUUUCAACUUUUAUUGCAACCUGCAAUCUGUCGCGCACGCGGAAGGGAAUGAACUCCGUUAUAUGUAAAAUUCAAUUGCGGAUGCGCGUAUGAUUAUAUUUAGACUAUCUUGCAAAUCUGCUGCCCCUUGUGAAAUGAAAAAUAUACAUAAGCUGUACGAUACGGUAUUCAUCAUUGCGGCAAAUUUUUCUAUCUUCCUCUCCGAAUCCUAUUGUAGCAGGGUGUUUUCAGUAGGAAUAAUAGAAAAUUUUUCAGACAAGAAUCUGUCGAUCCAUGAGAAUACAUUUACACAUAUAUAUAAUUCCAAAAAAAUGUACUAUAGAAUUAGUUCGAAUUAGAUUUUUUUCUAAUGAUAUUUUUCUCUAUCAACGUGGCAAAAUCUGAUUUUUUUUUUUUUUUUCAAACGUGUGUACUUUUACAAUUGUUUUUUUUUUUCCUCUAAUUAUAAUGACAUACAUUUAUUAUCUGAAAAAAAAAAAACGUUUUUAUCAAAGUGGCUACUCUACUGACGAUUUGAUCAUCUCGUGCGAUAUGACGUAACACAUAAGUCUUAUAUAUUCUAUACAUACCCAUAUAGGCGUAUGUACUUAUCAUAUCUCGUACUAAUUUCAGCAAUAUUACGUUUAAUUAAAUUGCGCGGUCAAGCGCGCAAAUUACUUAACGCCAGUUUACCUCCUUGUUCAAGCGUGAAUAUAGGUAUACGUAUAUAUAUAUACACAAUCAUUAUUAUCAUCACGUUCGAAAAAAAAUGGCGGAAACUCUCCACGGAACUGUACCUCAUUUGUGCACAAUAUAUAUAAAUAUAUAUAUGUAUCGCAUGUUUUUCCCCCGAUUGUUAUGUAUUUUAUUCCGUGAGAAUAGGUAAAUGAUGCAAAAAAAGCAAUAUAAUAACAGCGAAUAACAGUAAUGAUAAUAGGCGGCAUAACGAUUCGCUAUAAACUAUAAACUAAAAAAAGGGAUUCGACGUGUCGAUGAGAAUCGGUUUCGAUAAUAAAUCAAACAAUUAACAGUUCUGAAAUGUGAGCCGACAAUUGGGAAUGAAUUUUCACGGGUCGGUUGGGAAUAAAUUCAAUUCUGAUAUUACGAGACUUAUUAAUCCAACGUUGGUUCGCGACUCGAACUUGAAUCGAGACGUUCGAGAAGAAUUCUUCAAACAAACGUACAUCGUGACGAACGUUUGCUUUAUUUUUACUUCUUCUAUCUUUCUACAACAUUGAAUUUGCAUGGAAAUAAUACAAGACAUCAUGCGUUUUGUUAGACGUAUAUACGUAUAGUGGAAACUAGAACGGAUGUGUAACAUACAAGAAUCGGUAUACACAUAUAUAUGCGUACUACGCAUAACAGACGUCUAGUAUGUGACAUUGGUGGUUUUUUGUCAGCGUGUAAAAAAACAACGGUAACAAAAUAAUAUAAUAUAUUCAAAUCAACCGGCACGCGGUCAUCGCGUAUUAUUCAGCUGCGUCUGCAGACGCGUCUCAUGUGCGGUGUAACAUAAUUACCGAAGCGUCGUUAACGUAAUUAUUAUCCGUAAAUUAUAUAUUGAGGGAUAAAAAUAAUGUUGAAUAAAUAAUGAAAACGUAUAGAAACGCCGCGGCACGUGUCGAUAAUCGAUUAAUGUAACAUACACGCUGUAAUUAUAAUUUACGGUAAAUAUAUACAUCUUCUUCUAGUCGCUCAUGUAUACGAAAUGUAUAUGUUUCAUAAGUUCCGAUAUUACAUAGGUACGUACGUACACAUAACCGAGGGUAUAACUUAUAGCGGGAAUAAUUCACUGCAGGUGGUCCGUAAUUACGAUUUGCAAAAAAAAGGAAUUUAUAGCUUGCUUCGAAAAAUUUCAAAGUGCCGAGCGUGCCGACGAUUUGAUUGAAAUUCGUAAGUUAUUCAUACCGGUCGAAUCAUUACCGCCCAUACCGUAAAUAAAUCUCUACGAAUUGCAAAUUGUUCACACAAAAUUUCGACCUAUAGAUCCGAGGAUGCAGAUAUCAUUGACGGAUAAAUUGGAAAUGAGUAGAAGAAUAUUGCGAAGCGUGAGAAAGAAAAUCAAUCUUUUUUUUCUUCCUGCACUUAUAAUUUUGUCAACGUAGUAAAACCGUAUUCGUCCUUCUGUUUCCGGCGUAACGAAAAAUGAUCGAUUCACCAAAAUUUUUUUUUCCUCGCAACAUAAACGCACGCUGCCGCGGCAGCUGCUGCUCGCGGUAUGAGACAUCUGCUGCGUUAGCUCGCAGCUCGCAGCUCGUUCCUCGGAUAAACAUAAAGUCAGCUCCCUUGCUUAAGCUUUUAUUACACGCGAAUGUGUGCGACGUAUUUCUAUCUGUGCGUGUAUUACCGUGUACUCCUCCACCGGCUAACGAGAAAAAGAAGGAAGAAAUAAAAAUUAUAGAAGAAAGACGCACACGAGCGGUUAACACACUCGACGACGCAACACGCGUGCACGUAUACCUAUAUACAUACAUAUACUACCUAUAUGAUCGCAGCCAUGCAAUGUAUUCAUGUACAUACGGAGUCAACGGUACUCUGCGAGGCACUCUGUUAACUGAGAAGACAAAAAAAAAAGGGAAAGAAUUUAUUUUUUUUUUUUUCCUUUUCAAAUAUGUUAUACACAUAAAACGUGUGCACGGUUGAUAGCUUCUCCCGUGAGAAUUUUAUAUUCACGUGCGCACGGUGCAAAAGUUUCCAUCGACGAAGAUGAGGAAAACGUAAUCAGAAAAAAUUCAAAAAAAUAAAUUCAUCAGCAUUUUUGGUUAGGUUCUUUUUCGAAUAACGUGAUAACGUACGCUCGGUUUCAGAUCUAUGACAUUUGUUUUUGUUGUUUUUAGUUGUCGCCACGUACGGGAUGAACGUAGCGUACUUUUACCCGGUUGGAGAAUGCCGUUCGAAUGAUUACAGCGGUUUGAUAUAUCUGGUAUACCUGGUUUCCCCGUACAAUUAAGGAAACAACUUACGGUAAAACAAGAACCAGAUAAAACCUGUGCUUUCUGCGCCGGUAUGUGCAGUGGAGGUACCAGCGACACGGUGUCACGGCUGAGACAAUAAUAAACGCUUUCCUCAGAAUCAAGAAAUUAGGUGGUUCGAAGUAGACAGCAGACAGAGAAAGUUACCGCUGCCGGUAUAAAUCGCUAUAUCAUAACCAAUUCGGAGAGCCGUUUAAGUAGCUCUGAGGCAAAAACUAAUCGAACUUUAAAUAGAAAAUAGAAACUAGAAUACGCUGUUAGCCUGCAGCCUACCGGGAUCGAUCGGCGCUCCGGUAAAUUGAGACAAUCUUUUUUUUUUUUUCCUCUCUUCGUUUGCCGUAGUAUGGGAUUUGAUAUGCAGGGAGAAAAAAAGUGAGAAAUGAUUUUUCGUUAUUAUAACAUUCAUCGAUGAUCGGUCGAUAGAAUCCGAUCACGCGAUAAUGAAAUACACAGAGAUUAUCGGUUCAAGUUAUGCGGUACUGAGAACCGAGAUAAAAACUUCCUGAUGAUAUAAAACGGGAAGUUUCGGGUAAUUUAUUGAUCAAAUAUUUUACUAUUUUACAACGACCGCCGUUUCGAAUUUUUAAAAUACAGGUUUUCGAUGACUUCUCUUUCUUUCGUGACCUAACCGAGACAGAAAGAAAGUAAUGUCCGUAAUAAACUUUCCAUCGCGUUAAAAAAAUUAUCAUACGGCGAAAAAUGAAUAAACCAAAUAGUUACGAGAAAGAUGAAUAAAAAAUAAAAAAAAAAUGGAAGAAAAAAUAAGUAAAUAAAAAAAGAUACAUUUGCAUCAAUGGAUAAUAAAAUGUUUGUCCGUGUAUGACGAAUGCCCUGAACUUUAUUUGAAUAAUUGCGUCACCACUUACGUGAACGAACACAUGAAAUUACUGAAAGUCCGAGGAGAAGAUUUGACAGCGAUGACAGCACUAACGGAACGUCGACGAUGAAAAGAUAAAUUUGCGUGAAAAUAAUUUUGGGGCAAUGAAAACCGAAACGUCAAAUGAGACAGCUGAGGAGUCGGUGAUUCAAAAUCGGUGGACGCAAGCGCAGUUUUGCCGCUCUGGGAAAUUGGACUGGUUAAUCGGCUAGUUGGAGGAAAAUCAAACGCGUUGGCUUGACCGUUGGCUAAAAGAAUCGCACGUGACGGGGUUGGACGUCGAGGGCGAUCAGUUCCGGGGACGAUUGUCGAAAAAAGGUUUGAUUCAGGGCGGAGAAUAUUUCGAACAAUAGUAUGCAGAAGUUUGGCCGUCGCCUCGAGUUCCACGCCCAUUUCAUAGCCACAAGGAUCGAGGUACUACAGAACGCAAACUACUCACCUUGAUGAUCAGCUCGAUUUCUGGCACUUCACCGUUUGCGGUUCCGUUUUCGUGUCCGUCGUCCGCCAUUAUCAGUCUACUCGUAUUUUAUAUGAAUACUUUAUUUAUUUUAAAGGGAACAAGGCACUUUUCGGCUUCCGAAUAGUUGCGAACCGUGAUUUUAUCGAACAGAACGCAAUGGAGGCUCACUAGAAACUAACGUUACAAGGAGAGCCACGGGAGAUACUUGGAAAUUAUUAACGUGGCGCCACGAGGUCGACGAAUCGAAAAACUAAUUUCACUCGGCAGCGUCGAUAUUCUACCGGCUGAUGUUAACCGCCAUAUCGCGUCCUGAAUGACCUUAACGCACUCGAUCGAGACUCGCUACUACCCUCCAAGCUUCGUCAUCUCAGAGGGCGCCAGCUCCCGAGGGAUUCAAUUUUCAGAUCCUCUUCAUUCAAUUUCUCUAUUUAGUUUUUACACUUAUUGUUAGGUAAUUUCUAUCCACGUAUUCGACUCUUAAAUUGUAAGAAUAUUGAUCAGUAAUUUUUAUAAUAUAAUUUUUUUCUCAAUUUCUUUGAUUUUCCUGCUUGUAAUUUAUUCUUAAGUAUAAUUUUAUUUUUUCACAUUUGAGCUUCAAAUCAGAAACGCACUUGAGCCGAUACACAUUGAGGGAUUUAUUGCACGUAUAGAAAUACAUGUAUAUUUAAUGAAAUUGCUGUAAAGUCCAUGACGAUAUUUGCUCCAGUUUUUAUUUUAAAUCAAAUAAAUUAAUUCGCCAGAGGGUCAGCAAUAAUUUGUCAUGUUAUAAUUCCUAUUUGUACAUUCGCUGUGCACACAUAAUAAUAUUAUGCGCACGGUUUGAAUACCACCGAUAUGUGACCGAUAAGGUCUACUGUUAUUAAUUAUGUGACUCACAUCACUGGUUUCCAAUAUUCGAUGACAUUUAGAAGAAUAAAAUAGGCGGCAUCCCCAGAGCGGAUAACUCGCAUCGGUUGUACA